UACAGAGGGUGCGAGCGUUAAUCGGAAUUACUGGGCGUAAAGCGUGCGCAGACGGUCAUGUAAGUCGGGUGUGAAAGCCCCGGGCUCAACCUGGGAAUUGCAUUCGAGACUGUGUGGCUAGGGUGCGGAAGAGGGAAGCGGAAUUUCCGGUGUAGCGGUGAAAUGCGUAGAUAUCGGGAGGAACACCUGUGGCGAAAGCGGCGCACUGGACCAUAACUGACGCUGAGGCGCGAAAGCUAGGGGAGCAAACAGG
RNAcentral lists this ribosomal RNA (253 nucleotides) under uncultured bacterium. Its description in RNAcentral is "partial 16S ribosomal RNA". It matches the Rfam family "Bacterial small subunit ribosomal RNA", at positions 524 to 776 of the family's 1533-position model. The record is from RNAcentral.